Molecule: ribosomal RNA, 253 nt
Filed under: uncultured bacterium
Lineage: Bacteria
Description: partial 16S ribosomal RNA
Rfam family: Bacterial small subunit ribosomal RNA
Source: RNAcentral
UACAGAGGGUGCGAGCGUUAAUCGGAAUUACUGGGCGUAAAGGGCGCGUAGGUGGUUGUGUAAGCUAGAUGUGAAAUCCCUGGGCUUAACCUAGGAAGGUCAUCUAGGACUGCAUAACUGGAGUACGGUAGAGGGUAGUGGAAUUUCCGGUGUAGCGGUGAAAUGCGUAGAUAUCGGAAGGAACACCAGUGGCGAAGGCGGCUACCUGGACUGAUACUGACACUGAGGCGCGAAAGCGUGGGGAGCAAACAGG